RNAcentral lists this long non-coding RNA (1008 nucleotides) under Chrysemys picta bellii (western painted turtle). RNAcentral describes it as "lncRNA (ENSCPBG00000024105.1)". The record is from RNAcentral. Lineage: Eukaryota; Metazoa; Chordata; Testudines; Emydidae.
AAAUCUCUUGAUCUAUUUUUUAUAUAGCUGAGGAUGUGCAGCGGGAAUGCAUAUCCUUUAUGGCGGCAUCAAAUGCUGAUGUAUUGGUAGGACAUUUCUUUUUUCUCACAAAAAUAAACAACUUUCUUGUUAUGUUCAACAGGAUGAUUACAGUUCUCUUCCCCGAGAUGUUCAGAGUCUGAAUGACCUUGAAAAUUCAAGAGCGAAACUCUGAUACCACAACUUCCUCUUUCCUCCACUGUUUGUGUAUCAGCACACUUCUAGUUUGCUGCUGACCAGAUACUAUAGACCAUGGCUGAAUCCUCUGACUUACUCCUAUGGAGUUCAGUGAAAGCAAAAUGGAUCCAGGCAUCUAUCAUCUCCUACAAGGGAGUUUGGUAACAUCAGGAGGUGGCCAGGGCCUGCAGCAUUCCACAGACACAGAAACCUUCAUGGAAUUUUACCAGCAUCAGGAUUGAUUGCCAGCUUGAGGAUUCUCUAUUGGCAGCAGGUCCAAGAGGGACACCGCUUCUUUCUCUAGAUCCAGUGAAAGUGUACUACAGGCUGGCUCUGGAGGCAGCCCGACUGCUGCAGAAUCCUCAAAUCCCUCUCUCAGAAAUGGACUUGGUAGAAUCAUGGAGCGAUCCGUGUUCUGUAUUUAAUCUUAGAUCAUGAGAAAAAGUUAAAUACUGAAAUGGGAGGCUCAGAUAAAAGUAUUAGCAACACCAAGUAGCUCAAAAAUCAUGAGUUACCCCCCAUCCCCCAAAAUAUCAUGAGAUUGGUUUAAAAUAUGAGAUUUUUAAAUUAUAUAAUUUGGGGGUCCUUUUUAUUUGCUGCCUUGGAUUUUGAAUCCCUGGGCACGCUUGGCUCACAUUUUCUAGCUUUUCUCUUCCAGCAUGGGGGCUAGAAACUUAUUUUUAUUUUAAAUGAAAGCUGAGAUUCUUUCCUAAUCACAUGCCUCCAGGAGCAGGCGCUUUAAGAAGAACAUCAACUAUUGCAAGACUCACAAUAAAAUCACAAGCGUUGGCA